Long non-coding RNA from Octopus sinensis (East Asian common octopus), 154 nucleotides. RefSeq lists it as uncharacterized. NCBI's taxonomy places the organism in Eukaryota, Metazoa, Mollusca, Cephalopoda, Octopoda, Octopodidae. The transcript is spliced from 3 exons. The record is from RefSeq and is a predicted model, not a curated record.
CUAAGUGUUUUCGCGUGAGGUCCACACUUUUGAGGAGGAUGUCGAUACUGCUAAACUGUCUUCUCUUUGCAUGUGGGCCACAUCUUCCAUAAUGUUUUUCAGAGCCUUCUCCACUUGACUAAUUGAGGCCGCCUCGAUUCAUUAUCUUUGUGGG